RNAcentral lists this ribosomal RNA (404 nucleotides) under Verrucomicrobiota bacterium. RNAcentral describes it as "Verrucomicrobia bacterium partial 16S ribosomal RNA". It matches the Rfam family "Bacterial small subunit ribosomal RNA", at positions 355 to 776 of the family's 1533-position model. The record is from RNAcentral. Lineage: Bacteria; Pseudomonadati; Verrucomicrobiota.
UGGGGAAUAUUGCACAAUGGGGGAAACCCUGAUGCAGCGACGCCGCGUGAGCGAAGAAGGCCUUCGGGUCGUAAAGCUCUUUUAUAUGGGAAGAUAAUGACGGUACCUAACCAGAAAGCCACGGCUAACUACGUGCCAGCAGCCGCGGUAAUACGUAGGUGGCAAGCGUUGUCCGGAAUUAUUGGGCGUAAAGCGCGCGCAGGUGGUUUAGAAAGUCUGAGGUGAAAGCCCACGGCUCAACCGUGGAGGGUCAUUGGAAACUAAUAAACUUGAGUGCAGGAGAGAAAAGUGGAAUUCCUAGUGUAGCGGUGAAAUGCGUAGAGAUUAGGAGGAACACCGGUGGCGAAAGCGGCUUUUUGGCCUGCAACUGACACUGAGGCGCGAAAGCGUGGGGAGCAAACAGG